This 1270-nucleotide long non-coding RNA is filed under the name Lotus japonicus. RNAcentral's name for it is "long non-coding RNA (LJAP_LNC001397)". Lineage: Eukaryota; Viridiplantae; Streptophyta; Magnoliopsida; Fabales; Fabaceae. The record is from RNAcentral.
ACAAACGCACCCAACAGUCUCUGCUAGGGCACAACUUGGUGUGCAGCGCCGUCAACCCCCUUUGGGGGUCUCCUUCCCCAUUGGGGGGUUUUCUCCUCCACCAUGGAGGCUUUCCUUCUGCUUUUUAGAGCUUCCUUCCCACAUUAGGUAGGUUCCUUCCCACAUCAGGUGGGUUUCUUCCACAUUAGGUGGAUUUCUUACCCAAAUAAGUGGGUUUUGUUUCUUCCAAAUCCGCCUCAUUUGCCUCCACCGCCAAAUCCGCCACCACCUUCAACCACCGGGUGUCAAAGCUCCAGAUCUAGAGCGUUCAUGUCUUUUUCAAAGGAACCAGGUCUCUGGUUUAGCCUCAAUGGUCCAGAAGCUCGACCUGCCGUGUUGCUCUGUUGUAACCUGUGCCUGAGGCCAUCUUCUUCUCCGUCCCUUUCUGGUGGCACCUUAGGUUGCUAAAGGUGACCUUGAGUUGAAUCUGUUUUGUAAGCAAAGUAGGUUGGAUCUGUGCUCCACUGUUUCGUGGUAACAGUUCCGAUUCCCACCUUUAGCUCCGGCCACAGUACCAACGCUGGUUCUCCACUCUGUUGGUUUCCUCCACUAUGUUGGUUUCGCUCACGGCACAAUGAUCUCUGGCAUUCCUUCUGGGCUUCUCUUACCUACUUCAUCCUUCGCCCCCUUCAGCUUUUGCUGCUGCUGUGUUUUUGGAAUCGUCAGAAGUUUCCCUCAUCGCCUUGUUCUCAGAGCUGUGAAAUGACCCCUUUUGUUGCCGCUGAAGCCACGCCGUAGGCUUCCUUUUCAUCGGCACGCUACUAAUCCGGCAGAGUCGGGUUGUAGGUUUGGGAGCACUGGUUAAAGUUGUUCAUAUCUUCUCCGCUCAGAAGUCAUAUGGCGCUUUGUUAAUUUGGGUUUUGAGGGGCUUUUGUUUGUCUCAAGGGUUUUUACAUCAUGUUCAAUGCUGAUUGUUUCAGCUGAGUAGGCAUGCUUGCUCUUUAUUUUCUUAUGAUUGUGUGCAUUGUGGUAGCUCUCAGAGAUUUACUCUCGCAUGUUGUAAGUGUCGUUUGACAACCUUUUGAGUUUUAUUCCAUACACCUUUGUUAAAAAAAAAAAAACCAAACUACCUAGAAUAAGAAAAAUGAGCAAACCAAAAGAACAUAUGUGGGAAGGAAUAUGAUUAACAACAAAAAAAAAACAAAAAGGAGAAACUACCACUGCAUGCAUAUGUACAAUUGUAACGCAUACCAAGAUAUUUCCUCACCAAAAGGGCACUUCUCGCUCUAAU